RNAcentral lists this ribosomal RNA (109 nucleotides) under Pteropus alecto (black flying fox). Lineage: Eukaryota; Metazoa; Chordata; Mammalia; Chiroptera; Pteropodidae. The record is from RNAcentral.
GUCUAUGGCCAUGCUACACUGAACAAGCCCAAUCUCAGAAGCUAAGCAGGGUCAGGUGUGGUUAGUACUUGGAUGGGAGACCACCUAGGAAAACCAGGUGCUGUAGGCA